This 515-nucleotide long non-coding RNA is filed under the name Nicotiana benthamiana. RNAcentral describes it as "long non-coding RNA (NBEN_LNC031447)". Lineage: Eukaryota; Viridiplantae; Streptophyta; Magnoliopsida; Solanales; Solanaceae. The record is from RNAcentral.
AUUCUUUCUCUGCCCAAAGUUUUUAUUCUCCAAUGGCUUGCUCCCAACAGAGCAAUUUCAAGAAUAAAGAGAUGUGGAAAAAAGAAUUGAUUGAAGAGACAAAACAAGCAAAAUUAACGUUACAAGGCUAAAGAGAAAAUAUAGAAAGGACUUUGGAUCUGGAAACAAAAAAAGAAAUUUUAUCAUUGAUGAGUGAAGAAUUUGAUGAACGACAAAUCAACAAGAAAAAACAGACAUGGGAAAAAGAAUUACGUGAAGAGAUUGAAAAAGCCAAGUUGAAGAAACGUUUAGCUAUUGUGAAGUGCUAGUAAUUUGCUGAAGAUUAUGGCCAAUUGGCUCAAAUGCUUAUUCUUAUCUUACGGACGCUAACUUUGUAUAGUUUAGGAGUUGUUUAAUUUUCUUAUCUACCAAUUUUAAGUGAAGAAUCCAUAUUUUGAUUAAUACUUGUUAGGUUUGAUGGUUUUUGUAUUCUUUGUUUGAUGUGUAUUCAAGUUUACUACUGUUCCAUAUUCUUA